CAGUAGCCGCGGGAAUACGAAGGGUGCAAGCGUUACUCGGAAUUACUGGGCGUAAAGCGUGCGUAGGUGGUGGUUUAAGUCCGUUGUGAAAGCCCUGGGCUCAACCUGGGAAUUGCAGUGGAUACUGGAUCACUAGAGUGUGGUAGAGGAUAGUGGAAUUUCCGGUGUAGCAGUGAAAUGCGUAGAGAUCGGAAGGAACAUCUGUGGCGAAGGCGACUAUCUGGGCCAACACUGACACUGAGGCACGAAAGCGUGGGGAGCAAACAGGAUUAGAUACCCCCGUAGUCCCUGUCUCUUAUAA
Molecule: ribosomal RNA, 301 nt
Filed under: uncultured bacterium
Lineage: Bacteria
Description: partial 16S ribosomal RNA
Rfam family: Bacterial small subunit ribosomal RNA
Source: RNAcentral